Molecule: RNA transcript, 1114 nt
Organism: Cryptotermes secundus
Lineage: Eukaryota; Metazoa; Arthropoda; Insecta; Blattodea; Kalotermitidae
Gene name: facilitated trehalose transporter Tret1-like
Exons: 4
Source: RefSeq, a predicted model, not a curated record
AGCAAUGAAUGGAAUGGAAUGGAGCAAUGGAAUGAAGAUUGAUGCGUCCUGGCACAGUGGUUCUUUUGGAGGGGGAUGGCUAUCUGGUUUGGAGUCCUGGCUGCCAUGAGUUUCCUGGCCCUGUGGUUCCUACCUGAGAGCCCACAUUGGCUGGCCACUUACAGAGAGGAGGAGGGAGGAUCUAUUGAGGCAGCAGUCAGGUGGCUGAACAGGCACCCUCAGCGUUGUCAGGAAGAGCUGAAGACACUAAUGGAAACAACGCAUCAACAGAGACAGAGGAAUAAAAGUGAAGGGUUCAGAUUUUUUCCCCCAACUCCAUAUUGGUCCCCUCCGUAUUAAAACCAGUCAUCAUAUUGUUCUUCAUUUUCCUGUUCCAACAAUUAUCGGAGGUUAUGUUAUCAUAUUUUAUGCCGUCCAUGUUUUUAAGAUGGUUGGAGGAAAUUUUGGAUCAGGAUUUGAUGAAUACGACGCACUUGAUUUUCUGGGAUUAAUAAGAUUUAUAAUGAGUAUUGUUGCAGCAAUAGCUUCCUGUAGAUUUGGUCAUUGGCCAUUGAAUAUAUUGUCAGGACUAGGGAUGUGCAUUACAACAUUAAUUGUAGGUAUUUACUUGCACAUAAACCCUGUUGAAUAUACUGGAGUCUUUAUAAACUCAGAAAACAGCACAGAAGUUGUAGUUACCACAGAAACAGAACAUUGGACAUGUGUACUGUGUGUGUUAUUAUAUGUGUGCUUCUGUUCCCUAGGGAUUCUUGUGAUUCCAUGGACUCUGAUAGGAGAACUCCUACCAAUAAAAGUUUGCGGUAUUGGUGGUGGUUUCAUGGUUGGAAUUGCAUACAUUUUGAUGUUUGGUGUUCUAAAAACUUUCCCUUUUGCAUUGCAUAUUACUGGGGCUGAAGGAAUUUUCUUCUUUUUCAGUUUCAUAUCAUUGGCUGAUGUUGCAUUUGUGUAUAUAUUCUUACCUGAAACAUUGGGGAAAACUCUGCAGGAAAUAGAAGAUUAUUUCAAAUAAUUAUGGAUGUUUAAUAAUUAUAUCAUUGCAGUUCUUGUAUCAAAAAUGACAAGGUUAGUUGUCCAGCUGACGUAAGUUGCUCUGAAUAACAUAAUAUUCUCUACU